Non-coding RNA from Ictidomys tridecemlineatus (thirteen-lined ground squirrel), 918 nucleotides. The record is from RefSeq and is a predicted model, not a curated record. NCBI's taxonomy places the organism in Eukaryota, Metazoa, Chordata, Mammalia, Rodentia, Sciuridae.
GGUUGGUCUUGAACUUGAGAUCUUCCUGCGUCAGCCUCCUGAGUUACUGGGAUCACAGAGCUCCUUCAAAAGAUCAAGAAAAAAGAACAUUCUACUUAAGAUCUUGCUUCCUUUCAGAAGCACAAUGCUAAAAAGUGCUGGACUUUUGAAGAACUAGGCAAGAGUAAAACAAACUUCAAGACGGGAAAGAGAAAAACCGAGGACUUUUUGAGGAAGCAAGUCUCCUGCAAGGGGCUUCUUUGGUCUCUUUUUCUGGUUCCUAUCUCAUGGGUUACCUCCAGGGAGGCUCAGAGACACAGAGUGCUGACUAACUCACAGGAAACCACAACAGAAUUCUCAAAGACAGUGUUCAUGCCAUAGCAAAGCUUUGCUUGACUUACACUAAAAUGGCUUAGAAAAUGACCCCAGAACAAGGGAGAGCAGAGUCACCUGUUCUCACAUCUUAACCUGCCAGGUGAACAUCCUGAAUACAUACAUAGGGAAAGAGGAUAGUCAAGAGACAGACUGUAAACUGAUGUAGUCUAACCUGAAAGGAUGUUUCUAGUAAGAAACUGGCUAUAAAAAAAAUCACCAAAAGAGCAAACAUCAACUCUGUAAAUUAACUACUCCAAACUGCUGUCUGCUAGGUCAAACUGAUGGGCAGAAUUCCUUCCUACUUACCUUUCUGCUCCAGGAUGACAGAUACCACAUCUGGAUGAUUAUAAGCAAUUGCCAUGUGAAGCGGCGUCUGCAGAUACACAUUGUCCAUGGAGCUGGUUAGGGAUGUGACCUCCUUUGGCAAAGGCAGAGCCUCCUCUGUCUGCAAGUUUGGGUUGGCACCUUGCUGCAGGAGCUCUGCUGUGAGGUUGGCCAGGCCAUGCCGGCAAGCUGUGUGCAAUGGGGUUUCUCCCUGAACACAAACAAAUGGCACAAAUCUGA